This is a long non-coding RNA of Xenia sp. Carnegie-2017, 310 nucleotides long. RefSeq lists it as uncharacterized. The record is from RefSeq and is a predicted model, not a curated record. The transcript is spliced from 2 exons. Lineage: Eukaryota; Metazoa; Cnidaria; Anthozoa; Malacalcyonacea; Xeniidae.
CUCGUUGCAUAACUUGGAUUGUUUUUUCUUACAACUGACUCCACUUGUUGACCAUUUUGCGAAGGGCUUUAUCUGCUGCUUUUACUACUUUUACCAAUGAGGAGGAUGGACUUCAAGGUCUUGUCGUGACAAUCAUCAACUUGGCGCAGAACUUUGUCGGUAGUAACAAUUUAAAUCUGUUGCUACCUAUUGGUCAAUUUCAUCUCGAGGAAGAAAAAGUCGAAGGGAGGCAAGCAAUGGUUGACAUCUCAUCUCGAGGAAGAAAAAGUCGAAGGGAGGCAAGCAAUGGUUGACAGCUCAUCUCGAGGAA